UUGUGAACGUUACCUAAACCGUUGCUUCGGCGGGCGGCCCCGGGGUUUACCCCUGGGGGCCCCUGGGCCCCACCGCGGGCGCCCGCGGAGGUCACCAAACUCUUGAUAAUUUAUGGCCUCUCUGAGUCUUCUGUACUGAAUAAGUCAAAACUUUCAACAACGGAUCUCUUGGUUCUGGCAUCGAUGAAGAACGCAGCGAAAUGCGAUAAGUAAUGUGAAUUGCAGAAUUCAGUGAAUCAUCGAAUCUUUGAACGCACAUUGCGCCCGCCAGUAUUCUGGCGGGCUGCCUGUUCGAGCGUCAUUUCAACCAUCAAGCCCCGGGCUUGGGUUGGGGACCUGCGGCUGCCGCAGGGCCUGAAAAGCAGUGGCGGGCUCGCUGUCACACCGAGCGUAGUAGCAUAUAUCUCGCUCGGGCGUGCUGCGGGUUCCGGCCGUUAAACCACCUUUUAACCCAAGGUGACCUCGGAUCAGGUAGGAAGACCCGCUGAACUUAAGCAUAUCAAUAG
RNAcentral lists this ribosomal RNA (506 nucleotides) under Chaetomium sp. 1.B N1. Its description in RNAcentral is "eukaryotic LSU rRNA". The stretch from base 149 to 301 matches the Rfam family "5.8S ribosomal RNA". Lineage: Eukaryota; Fungi; Ascomycota; Sordariomycetes; Sordariales; Chaetomiaceae. The record is from RNAcentral.